Bos taurus (domestic cattle) is the source of this 1070-nucleotide long non-coding RNA. NCBI's taxonomy places the organism in Eukaryota, Metazoa, Chordata, Mammalia, Artiodactyla, Bovidae. The record is from Ensembl.
GGCACGCACAGACCCGUGGCCACACGCGGGAGGAGCCAGACACCCACGGGGACUGCACACACCGGAGGGGCUCACACCAAGGGGCAGACCAGACACCCACACGGCGAGGGCACACGCGCACCCGCCCAGGCCAGACCCAGACAGACCCCACGGGAGGCCCCCCACCCAGAGGCCAGACACGGACCAGGCAGCCAGCAUCCCCUGGGAGGCCACAUCAGACCUCACCGUUCACCCGCGGUCCCAGAACCCGCCCUGUGCAGGCCCCCAGCGAGUGUGUGCACGCCCCGGCUCUCAGCCCAGGACGCAGGCCUCCAACCACAGCUCGCCCCUCUUACCUGGAGAGAUGGGGGGAUGGAUGCAGAUACCAGCGGGACACCCCGUUGCCUUCAGCGCCGACAGCAGCUGGGAAGGCCCGCCGCGGAGUGGGCAGCGCCCGGACCACCACCUCGACGCCCAGGCCUGGGGCAGCCCCACCGCCAUCGCGGCCAGGCAGGUGUUCCACGGAGUUUUCCAGAGGCUACGUGAGGCGUGAUCUCGCGAGAGCUUCAAAGCCCUGGCAGGUGUGAUAACCCAGCUGGCCUUGUGUUAACCUCACUCAAGAGAGCUGCGAAGUGAAACACAAGGCCACUCUUUGGGCUGCUUUGCUGGUUUUAAGACAGAGCUAUUUUUCAUUAAAAAAAAGUGCAUUAUUCCUGUGAGUACAGUGAGUUCGUUGUCAUGAAGCAACGAAUGCAUAAAGACCUCUGUUUUUUCUCAGCUUUAAUUUCCAUCGCUGCAAAUGUCGAUAUACACAUACACAACAGCUCUGGGCCUGCAAUGAUUUUUUAAACGCUAAGGGGCCCUGAGACCCCCAGUGUCUGAGACCUGCUGCCUGAGACACGUGGCUAAUGAUUGAUUACAGCUCCUCUGCGCACCCAGCCUCAGUGGAGGACACACACAGGGAGCGCGUAUUGAGUCCUUUCGGCGCCCAGCCCCCAGCUAAAGGCUUUACAAGGUCAUCUCAGGGAAUCCUCACACCAGCCUUAUGCGGGCGGUAAUGUCAAGGCCGAGGAGGAAACCCAGGCUGAGCU